UCUAAACGACUCUCGGCAACGGAUAUCUCGGCUCUCGCAUCGAUGAAGAACGUAGCGAAAUGCGAUACUUGGUGUGAAUUGCAGAAUCCCGUGAACCAUCGAGUCUUUGAACGCAAGUUGCGCCCGAAGCCUUCUGGCCGAGGGCACGUCUGCCUGGGCGUCACG
This 165-nucleotide ribosomal RNA is filed under the name Veronica telephiifolia. Its description in RNAcentral is "5.8S ribosomal RNA". It matches the Rfam family "5.8S ribosomal RNA". From Rfam's summary of the family: 5.8S ribosomal RNA (5.8S rRNA) is a component of the large subunit of the eukaryotic ribosome. It is transcribed by RNA polymerase I as part of the 45S precursor that also contains 18S and 28S rRNA. The record is from RNAcentral. Lineage: Eukaryota; Viridiplantae; Streptophyta; Magnoliopsida; Lamiales; Plantaginaceae.